ACCACUGCACUCCAGCCUGGGUGACAGAGCGAGACCCUGUCUCAAAAGAAAAAAAAAAGUUGGCCGGGCGCAGUGGCUCACGCUUGUAAUCCCAGCGCUUUGGAAGGCCCAGGCGGGUGGAUCACGAGAUCAGGAGAUCGAGACCAUUCUGGCUAACACUGUGAAACCCUGUCUCUACUAAAAACAUAAAAAAUUAGCCGGGCGUGGUGGCGGGCGCCUGUAGUCCCAGCUACUCGGGAGGCUGAGGCAGGAGAAUGGCAUGAACCCGUGAGGCAGAGCUUGCAGUGAGUCAAGAUCGAGCCACUGCACCUCAGCCUGGGCAACAGAGCGAGACUCUGUCUCAAAAAAAAAAAGUUAUCUACUUAAAAUAGGGAGAUUAUCAGGCCCGGCGCCGUGGCUUACGCCUGUAAUCCCAGCACUUUGGGAGGCAGAAGUGGGUGGAUCAUGAGGUCAGGAGGUCGAGACCAUCCUGGCUAACACGGUGAAACCCCGUCUCUACUAAAAAUACAAAAAAAUUAGACGGGCGUGGUGGCGGGCGUCUGUAGUCCCAGCUACUCGGGAGGCUGAGGCAGGAGAAUGGCGUGAACUCGGGAGGCGGAGCUUGCAGUGAGCAGAGAUCUCACCACUGCACUCCAGCCUGGGCAACAGCGUGAGACUCUGUCUCAAAAAAAAAAAAAAAAAAAGGGAGAUUAUCCAAGUGGGCCCAGAGUAAUCAAAUAGACAUUUAACAGUGGAAAUGGAAGACAGAAGGGUAGGUCAGAGAGAGGGAUGAUAGAAGUAACAGGAAUGAUUCAAAAUGGGAGAGGGGCUUCACCCACUGUUGCAGGCUCUGAAGAAAAGGGGAUCAUGAGCCAAGGAAUGAAGGCAGCCUUCAGAAGCUAGAAAUGACCCUCAGCUAACAGACAACCAGGAAAGGAGACUUUGAUCCUUUAACUGCAAAGAACUGAAUUCUGCCAACAACUAAAUAAACAAGGAAAUGGAUUUGCCCCCCACCCCAAAACCUCCAUAAAGGAAUGCAUUCCUGCCAGCACCUUGAAUUUAGCCCAGCAUUAGUGAAGCCUUCAGAUGACUGCAGCCCAGAUAACAUUUUGACUGCAACCUUAUCGGAGACCUGGAGCCAGAACCACCUUUCCUAAACUGCUCCCAAGUUCCUGAUUCACGGAAACUGUGAAAGAAGCAACAGUCUAAAAGUCUCUAGUAUAUGGUGACCAGCAAGUGAAGAAGAAUAAGUGGAUGCAAAUUAAGAACUCAUCACUGUAAUCCCAACACUUUGGGAGGCUGAGGCAGGAGGAUAACUUGAGCCCAGGAGUUUGAGACCAGCUGGGUAACAUAGUCCCAAGAGUGUCUGCAGAAAAAUACCAAGGCAAAUUGUUGAGAAGAGCUACCAUCUCUGAAAAGCCCAUAUCAGAAAGAGUUCCAUCUAUCUGACAUCCUCCUACCUUCAUACUCCCCAGCAAAGACACAGCUGUCCACUUGCAGAAUGGGCCUCUCAGUGUCAAUGCCCUACAACAGAAUAAAGGAUCAUAAAAAAAAAAA
Symphalangus syndactylus (siamang) is the source of this 1536-nucleotide long non-coding RNA. RefSeq lists it as uncharacterized. The record is from RefSeq and is a predicted model, not a curated record. NCBI's taxonomy places the organism in Eukaryota, Metazoa, Chordata, Mammalia, Primates, Hylobatidae.